This 230-nucleotide ribosomal RNA is filed under the name uncultured bacterium. Its description in RNAcentral is "partial 16S ribosomal RNA". It matches the Rfam family "Bacterial small subunit ribosomal RNA", at positions 1117 to 1348 of the family's 1533-position model. The record is from RNAcentral.
GCGCAGCUCCGGAAGGGCACUCUAAGGAGACUGCCGGGGACAACCCGGAGGAAGGCGGGGAUGACGUCAAGUCCUCAUGCCCCUUAUGGGCGGGGCUACACACGUGCUACAAUGGUCGGUACAAAGGGAAGCAAACCCGCGAGGGGGAGCCAAUCCCAUAAAACCAAUCUCAGUCCGGAUUGCAGUCUGCAACUCGCCUACAUGAAGUCGGAAUCGCUAGUAAUCGCGAU